Long non-coding RNA from Eubalaena glacialis (North Atlantic right whale), 6465 nucleotides. RefSeq lists it as uncharacterized. The record is from RefSeq and is a predicted model, not a curated record. The transcript has 7 exons. NCBI's taxonomy places the organism in Eukaryota, Metazoa, Chordata, Mammalia, Artiodactyla, Balaenidae.
CCCUGUGCGGGAUUGGACCCCGGGACUUUCUUGGGGCCGCAUCCAGACCCCUUUACUGCCCGGUGCCUCCAUCUCCGGCUUCUGGGUGUGCUGGGGGCCAACAGCUCACAGCCACCCCCUUCUCUGAAUAGUUAAUUGUCCUUGGCUGAUGGGAACUGCUGCGCCCUGGAAGUUAUCACUCCCCAAACACCUGGAGCUCAUGACUGACUGGGGUUGCAGUAUAAAGGCCCAGCUCCUUUGCCUCCAAGAGUGUUGACUCGUGCUAUUCGUGCUCCGAGCUCCUCUGGAAUGAAGUUGAAGGAGUGAGAAUCCCCAGAAUAACGAGAGGACAACCAGCAGGGGAAGGAAGUCCCUGGGAGGUCGUCCACAACACGGAGGACAGCGGCUCCUAAUAUAACCUUCCCACAGUGCCUCUAAAUGACAUGUGGACUUUGGGUGAACUGGAUCUGGGUAAUCCACAGGACCCAAGACAUGGUAGCUACUAAUAUACUCUUCCCACGGUGCCUCUUAAUACCAUGCGGACUCCUACAAGGGAAAUAAGUAUCACAACUUUGGUUGAACUUGGUCUGGUCUCAGAUUUACCUGAUGGUCACCACUCACAGUUCCCGCAGAGCCCAGAGAUUUCUCCUUGAAGGAAAGGUUCUGGAAAAUCAGAGGGAUAAAUAAAGAAUGCAGCUGAUUCCCGCCUUGUGCUGACGCCCAAGAGGGUGAGGAGAGCCACGAGGCAUGUGGGAUCUUAGCUUCCUGCCCAGGGAUCAAACCGGCACCCCCUGCGUUGGAAGGCGAAGUCUUAACCACUGAACCACCAGGUUCACGUACACACUUCUACAACGUCUAACAUGCCGUGGAAGUUUGACUCGUUGCCCUAGUCUGAGCUGCACUGAGAAAGACCCUCGGCUUCGCAUUCCAUCUAGGACCUCCUGCCUGAAUUCAUCCUGCCUCCAGGAGAAAGUCGGCUUGCGUUCUGACUGCAACUAAAGCCCAGUUCCUCGUGGAACACUGCAGGCUUUUGAAGAGCCACAGGCCCGGAGGCCUAGCUGGGGCGUUCCUUGGUUGAGGUGGUUCACUAGAUGCAGAACACCGUGCUUCGAUGAGUUGAUUCAGGGAAGGAACCACUGGGUAACCUGUGUCUCUCUGGACUUGUUAGAAAGCACAGGGAUGUAUGCUGCGUGUGCCCAUGGAAAUGGGGGCCUGAUGGAACUAGCCUUGCUUUCCCAUUUGGAAAGCUCUAUUCAUGCUGCCUUGAAGCUACUUGAAAUUGACUGCUGUUGACAGGCCACUAGCCACUGUACGCAUGGCUCUGGGAAGAAAAUGAGUUUUCUCUAGCUAAACCGGGUGCUUCCAUGGCCGGGGUGGAGCUCAUCCUGCCAUGCUCCAGAGCUAAAGGGAAACUCAACAUGAGUACUUGCCUCGAGAUAAGGCCCUGAGUAGCCGUGCAGAAAGGGAGGCAUGCAGCUGUUUCCAUGAGGUCUUAGUCACUGUUGUGCUUUAUUUUAAAGGAAGUACCCUUUUCAGGACUCCUAGGCCCCUCGGGUAUGCAUCAUUUUCCCUCCAAGAUCACUGAGUACCUCCGGACCUCUAUGGGCCUGCUGAGCAACAUCGAGACCCAUAGGUCGGUCCCUCGGAGGCCCUCUGUGUAUGCCCUGCGAUGGGCAACCCACUGUACGUUCCUUAAGGUGAACUACAUUUGCAGAGCACUCGAACAGCCUCAGGACCACAUUUCUAGCCAGUCCGACGUGCCAUGGAAGUCUUCGUCUUGCCCCCCGUCUGAGCUGCCCUGAGAAAGCACUGUGCUUGGAAUUCCUCGGGGACCUCGUACCUGAAGUCACUCUGCUCGAGGAGAAAGUCAGCAUCCUACCGUGCUGUGUCACUAACGGAUCAUUCAACGAGAACACUUGCCUCAAGGUAAGGCCCUGAAUUGCCGUGCGGAAGCAUAGGCGUGCAGCAGUUUCCAUGAGGCCGCAGCCACUGCUCUGCAUUUUUUUAACGGCUGGACGCUUUGCAGGACAUCUAGGAGCCUCACGUGGGCACCCUAUUCCCUGCAAGAACACUCAGUCACCCCAGGCCCCCCUGGGCCUGCUAAGCAACAUCCAGGCCCGUAGCCCUUCGGAGCCACUCUGUGUAUGCCGAGUGUAGGGCAACACACUGCACUCUUUCUUGGGACAGCUUGAUUUCCCCAGCACUCCCGCAGGUUCACGUACAUCCUUCUAGUACAUCUAACAUGCCGUGGAAGUCUGACUCGUUGCCCUAGUCUGAGCUGCACUGAGAAAGACCCUCGGCUUGGCAUUCCAUCUAGGACCUCCUGCCUGAAGUCACCCUGCCUCCAGGAGAAAGUUGGCUCGCGUUCCAACUGCAACUAAAGCCUAGUUCCUCGUGUAACACUGCAGGAGUUUGAAGAGCCACAGGCCCGGAGGCCUAGCUAGGGCGUUCCUUGGUUGAGGCAGUUCGCUAGAUGCAGAGCACCCUGCUUUGAGGAGUUGAUUCCGGGAAGGAACCACUGGGUAAAAUGUAUCUCUUUUGACUUAUUAGAAACCACAGGGAUGUAUGCUGCGUGUGCACAUGGAAAUGGGGGCCUGAUGGAAGCAGCCUUGCUUUCCCGUUUUGAAAGCUCCAUUCAUGCUUCCUUGAAGCUACCUGAAAUUGAGUGCUGUUGACAGGCCUUUAGCCGCUGUAGGCAUGGCUGUGGGAAGAAAAUGAGUUUUCUCUAGCUAAACUGGGUGCUUCCAUGGCUGGGGUGGAGCUCAUCCUGCCAUGCUCCAGAGCUAAAGGGAAACUCAACGUGAGUACUGGCCUCGAGGUAAGGCCCUGAGUAGCCGUGCAGAAAGGGAGGCAUGCAGCUGUUUCCAUGAGGUCUUAGUCGCUGUUGUGCUUUAUUUUAAAGGAAGUACCCUUUUCAGGACUCCUAGGCCCCUCGUGUGUGCAUCAUUUUCCCUCCAAGAUCACUGAGUACCUCCAGACCGCUGUGGGCCUGCUGAGCAACAUCGAGACCCAUAGGUCGGUCCCUCGGAGGCCCUCUGGGUAUGCCGAGCAAAGGGCAACAUGCUACACUCUUCCUUAAGAGAACUAGAUUUCCUCAGCACUCCAACAGCUUUAGGAAAACGUUUCUACCCCGUCUAACAUGCCAUGGAAUUGUGCCUCGUUGCCCUAUUGUGAGCUGCACUGAAAAAGCACUGUGCUAAGCAUUCCUUCUAGGACCUCCUGCCUGAAGUCACCCUGCCUCCAGGAGAACGUCGGCUCGCGUUCCAACUGCAAGGAAAGCACAGUUCUUCGUGUAACACUGCAGGCUUUUGGAGCAAGCACAGGCCCGGAGGCCUAACUCAGGCAUUCCUUAGUUGAGGCAGUUCGCUACACACAGAACACCCCGUGUAGAAACGCUGAUUCAGGGAAGUGCCCAGUGUGUAGCUCGUGUCUCUUUUCACUUGUUAGAAAGCACGUGUAAGUGUGCUGCGUGUCCGCCGGGAAAUGGGUGCCUGACGGCAGAAGCCAUUUCAUCAGAGGUGUUGGGAGUGUGUAGAGGCGUUAUAUUCCUGUUGUGUGUCCUGCAGGCAUCCCAUGAAAGACCAGAAUCUAGGUCAACUUGGGCAAGCCACUUAACUGAGCCUCAGCUUUCUUUAUUUGUAAGGUGGGCACCACAGCGCUUCCCUCCCGUAUUCAUGGCGAUAACCUGGCAACAAACGUACACCAUGUGGCCCCACUUUGAAAUCUUUAAAGAGGUCUGCCAAUAAAAGUGUCUGUAGGUUGUACCUUCCCUGCAAUGACACACCUGGUCCAAGGUGGAGAGGUUUCAGGAGUGAGCAGUUUGCCCUUCACAUGAAUGGACAGAGCUCAGCCAGCGGCGCCCCUUCACUGAGACCCUGGCUGCCGAGGUACACACUUUCCAUGUAUCCAGGCUAGUUUCAGAUGGAGACUGAGAGGGAAAAUAGGCAGGUGUAAGGAUGCAAUCCUCAAAUCUUUGGUUUCAAAUAAUCCAUCCCAAACUGCUACCCGAGCCCCCCAGUAUCAAAAAGGAAACAUGUUAUAGACCCAGAAAAAUGUGUUUCCCAAAAGGCCUAGGUUUGCCCUCAUAGUCAUCAGUAUCUAAAAUAGAAGUAGCAGUACACUUAAAAUCUUAAACCUCUAUGUAUUUAGGGACCAAAGGCAUUUUCAUCAGAAAGAAAAGGGAUUUAAUAAUGAAACCACAGAGAGAUAAAUUGUUUUCAAGCCCCUGAUAAGAGAGGGGAGAAAUGUCAACCUCGUGGGAGUUGCAGAAUCAGCAGUUAGGAUUUUUGGAUGCCAACUCUGGUGGAGAAGAGACUCCAGCCUGUACCCUCCCCACCCACCCUCCCCGGUAUGCCUGGUUAGGAGGUGAGUCCUGCAGGCACGGUGGCCCCUGGGCUGGCCGGAGCGGCAGGAUGAGUGCAGGGGUUCCUGAACAGAAAAGUUUACCCUCCCUCCCCAGAGACACCUAGCAAUGUCUGGAGGGUGGGCUAGUGGCAGGUGGCCAGGGACGCUGCUAAACACACUACAAUGCCCAGGACAAAGCCCACCACAGAGAACGAUUCAGCCCAGAAUGUCAGCAGUGCUGAGGAUGAGAAACCUAUGUAUGUGGUAAUGCUGGCCUCCAGGAGAAGUUCAGGAGACAGCCCAACCCUCUUCCUGCCCACAAGGGGGGGAUGGUCCUCUCCUGUAGCUUGCUCCAAUUUAAGGACCUUUUGCUGUCUGCUGUUGGUGAGUGACCCGGUGCCCUGGCUUUAGGAGUCGGGGCCUGAGGGCCUCGUUAGCUCCCCGAAUUCUGUGCACUCAGAGUGCGCUUUACCCCCACGCUCCCCGCUGUUGUAGAGCAGGGUCUGAAAAGCCAGAGGGAGUGGCUGCUGGAUUUGGCGCUAGCAGGCUUGGUCUUGGCGUCACUGGUAAUGUACAGGGUGAUAUUUGGGGUAGAAAGAGACAAAUUAGGCCGAUUCGUAGCGAGGUGGUGGCUGCUCUGCGGAACGCCCCUGAGUCGCGAGGUUCUGGGACCGCUGAUCAGUAGCAGAGGUGUGACGAGGACACAGCCUCACACCGUGCCCCACGGCCUGGGCCUUUCGGAGUUGGCCUCUUCAGAAGGCUCUCCCAGGCACAGACCACCCCAUCCCCGAGCCCCAGCACGCUGGCCCCUCCGCACUGGACAUGUAGGGGUAGCGCGGGGUGUGGUGUCCACGCCAGACUGAAGUCCAGGUCGGAGGGGCUCAGCCUGAGGCUGAAAGGAGAUGGAUGGAUCAGUAGGUUGGUGGCGGUGUCUCCUGGGAGGGAAUCACAGGGAAUUGUUACUUCUCAGUUAUCUUCUGCAUUUUAAAAACUUCUGCCAUGAGUACGCAUUUCUGUAACCAAAACCUUAUCAGAGUGGAAGCUUAGUGGGGCAGCUUUGCAAAAGGACCCUGCCUGACUCUUGACCCGCCUGUGUGCCUAAAUGCGCAUGCAGCUGGGGCUUGGUCAGCAGUGGUGACCUCCUGAAGCUAUUUACAACCUGUAAGCGGUGUGUGCUCCUCCACAGGAUACCUCAGUUCUCUGACUCUCAGGUUCUUCUUCUGUGGAGAAAAAGGGCAGAUAUGUUCUACAAAUGUCCACAGUUCCCCGUGGAGAAGGUACCUCUGGGCAUGAACAUGUGCUGGAGUGGCAUGAUGCUGGGGUCUGCCCCUCGCAGCUCAAUCUCAAAGACUCCAAGCAGAGCUACCUAUUUUAUAUUUUUCUUCCCUUCUGAAGACAUUGGCUGGCACUUGGCCUUGGUCCAGGGUGUACGCCUUCUUCAACCUGUUGACUGCAGAGUCCUCACAUUGCUUUGGGCUUGGUCCAAGUCUGUGCUUGAGUGGAGGACGGGGCGUUGAGAGGGUGCACACGCCCCUCCUUCUCAGCCACGCACCUUCUUUUCCUUGCCAAGCUCUCCCUUCUCCUACUGUGACAACGAAGCGGCUGCUUCAACCUCUUCUGUAACCUGGGCUCUCCCAUCUGUCUUCAGUUUUUCCCGUGAUCAUAGCUGGUUAGACACCUGCCGGGGGAUGUUUUUCAGACGAACUUGAGUAACUUGCCCUCGUAGAUUAGUUAAGAGCCUGUAGGUCUCGAAGGGAUUUGUGGAAAAGACCCAGCAGAGUCUCCGAGAACCCGAGGUGGCUGUGGCUGGAGCCAGGUGAGCCACAGGUUAGGGGCGUCUGGCCCUCAUCCUGUGUGAGGGUGGAUGCGCUACUGCUGUCCUCUGCCUCGGGCCCUCAUCUGUGAAAUGCGGGAACAGUGAGGACUGCCCUCCCGAGGUCGUCAUGAGGCUUAAUGUGUGAAUGCAGUGACCACUCAGAGCAGCCCUCACAGCAGGGAGCACUGUGUGUGUGUGUGUGGGUGUGUGUGUGUCUGGGGGUGUGUGUGUGUGUGCGUGUGCGUGUGUGUGUGUGUGUGAUUGUAGCCGCCGGGCUUUGCUUUUCUCCACCAGCUCCUUCUUCACGGGGAAGCAAGGAGAGGCAU